This 581-nucleotide ribosomal RNA is filed under the name Salmonella enterica subsp. enterica serovar Cerro. Its description in RNAcentral is "partial 23S ribosomal RNA". It matches the Rfam family "Bacterial large subunit ribosomal RNA", at positions 711 to 1289 of the family's 2925-position model. The record is from RNAcentral. Lineage: Bacteria; Pseudomonadati; Pseudomonadota; Gammaproteobacteria; Enterobacterales; Enterobacteriaceae.
AGACCCGAAACCCGGUGAUCUAGCCAUGGGCAGGUUGAAGGUUGGGUAACACUAACUGGAGGACCGAACCGACUAAUGUUGAAAAAUUAGCGGAUGACCUGUGGCUGGGGGUGAAAGGCCAAUCAAACCGGGAGAUAGCUGGUUCUCCCCGAAAGCUAUUUAGGUAGCGCCUCGUGAAUUCAUCUCCGGGGGUAGAGCACUGUUUCGGCUAGGGGGCCAUCCCGGCUUACCAACCCGAUGCAAACUGCGAAUACCGGAGAAUGUUAUCACGGGAGACACACGGCGGGUGCUAACGUCCGUCGUGAAGAGGGAAACAACCCAGACCGCCAGCUAAGGUCCCAAAGUCAUGGUUAAGUGGGAAACGAUGUGGGAAGGCCCAGACAGCCAGGAUGUUGGCUUAGAAGCAGCCAUCAUUUAAAGAAAGCGUAAUAGCUCACUGGUCGAGUCGGCCUGCGCGGAAGAUGUAACGGGGCUAAACCAUGCACCGAAGCUGCGGCAGCGACACUGUGUGUUGUUGGGUAGGGGAGCGUUCUGUAAGCCUGCGAAGGUGGCCUGUGAGGGUUGCUGGAGGUAUCAGAAGU